GACGCUGCAACCCCUUCCCCGCGCCCCCGCGCCCCCGCGCCAAAUGGUUAGAGCACCCAUCUGUUAACUCGCCUUGGAAUUCUAUUGGUCCAAGUGGAGAGGCAAGCGGUCCCAGAGAACAAAUUUUCGAGUUGUUUCCGAAGAGGCAUCUCCCUGGGAACCAAACUCAGCUUUGAUCUAUUGGCGCCAGUGACAUCGGGCAGAAAGACCCUUGUUGGGGCUCGACUGGAAAGGAUCAGUAACAAAUUUUGGCGACCCAGAUGGAAUGGACCGUGGCCUUUUUGCUCGCAUUUCUCCACCAGGCUCCAGGCCUGCCCCAGCUCCAGCAGGCUGACGGCAGAGGCUUUGGGAGGUUAGCGUGAGGAUGAUUGACCCUGGGUUUGGAGUACAUUCUGACGAGGUGGAGCAGCAGCAGCCUUUGGCUGAAUUCAGUGGAACUCUGCCCAGCAACCCAAUACCCGGGUGUGCUGUACAUGUAGCCCCCAGCAUAAUCCAGACUGUGCCCCCUCGAGGGGUCAUACUGUGGCAUCACUGGGGAUCGGAAACUGAAAAUCAUGCGUGUCUGCCCGCUGCCUCUGACUGGCCUUUCCACAGUACUGGAUGUCCGGGGAAGGUGGGGACCUGUGAAGGAGAGGGCGCCACAGCAGUCUUGCCCACUGUCUCCCUGAGCUGUUGGGUAUAAUAGUGAGAGGGGCCGUUCCCACUCACUUCUUCCCUUUGAUUCAUAAAUUCCAGCUCUGGGAAGAACAGCAUCAUACUAUGAUCUCUGAUUCAAAGCAUGCAGUGCAUCCUGUAAGACGGAAUCCCACCCUCUCAGGGUGGUGCUUCCCAGUUGGCACUGUAGACGCUGGAACUGAGUCAUUAAUAAGCCGUUGUACCUUUCAUUUGCAUCUGGAUGAUGGGAUACAUGGUAAGACCAGUUUGUUCUGUGGUCCUGGGCAUAUUGCUGAACUUCCUUCACUUUGAAAUGAGGCUUGAUCUGACCUGAUGCUGUGAAGAAUGCCAUGAUCAUGGACCAGCAUUCUUUGAGUCCACAUGUGGUGACAGUAGCAAAAGCAUUACUGGCAGGGAAAGUCCAUAUCCUGAAUAUCUGUCGAUCCCAGCAAGGACCCAUCUCUUCCCCUCUCAUAAUGGAGGAAGUCCAAUGUAAUCAUCUUGCCACCAGGUAGCAGGCUGAUUCUCCAGGGAAUGGUGACAUCUGGGACUCAGUAUUGGUCUCUGCUGUUGGAAGAUCAGGCACUUGACAGUAGUGGUAGUGACAAAGAUUCUUUUCUGGACUAAACCUGAGUCUGACUCCUCCGAGCCCUCUGCCUGGCUAAGGAUGACCUUGGACUUCUGUCUCCAUCCUUAUAGAGUCCAGUUGUAGCACGAAUCCUGCUAAGUCAGUAUAGCCAAAACCUCCCACCCUUGAUAGCUGCUCAUCCUUGACAUCUGUCCAAAUUCCUCACCCACCCUGGCCCCGCGCAACCAUAUACCCCCAUGCAAUAUCUGAUCACCCUGACCUGCCUUCAGCCAGAAUCCUAUGAGAUCAGUUUAGCAACAAAUUACUCUUACCCUCUUGUUAAUUUUCCGUCCCUGUUCCUUGUCUCUAACUCCCACUUUCCCUUGUUGUGUUCAAGAGUUGAGCCCAAUCCCUCUCCCCUCCUGCAAAAAACACUCCGUGCAGUACUCCCUACUUCUGUUGUGAUCGUCCUGAAUAAAGUCUGCCUGACCAUUUUAA
Vicugna pacos (alpaca) is the source of this 1720-nucleotide non-coding RNA. The record is from RefSeq and is a predicted model, not a curated record. NCBI's taxonomy places the organism in Eukaryota, Metazoa, Chordata, Mammalia, Artiodactyla, Camelidae.